UUCAGAAAGGAAAAUAAGAAGGUCAAGUAACAAAAUGUCAUUUACAAUUACGGAAAAGAAAACACAAGGCGCAUUCAUCUUUGCUAGGUUUGGCCUUGUUUUUUAACUUUGGACAGUCUUUCUUCCCGUACCCCUUUUCUUGGCAAAAGACGCAUUCAUCUUUGUUGGGUCUUGAUCUUGACUUCAAUCUUCCUUUCUUCGUUCUCAUUUGGUUUUGAAAACGACCUUACAACCAGUGCUUCUCCUUCUCCACUCUUUUGCUUUUUUCUCUUUCUUUGUUCAUAGUUGUAUAAGGCAUAACAAACUUCUUUGAGAGAUACUUCAUCAUUCCCAUGAAGUAAAGUUGUUUCGAGUUGUUCGUACUCAUCGGGAAGUGAAUUUAAUAACAUUAAGGCCAUAUCUCUAUCACUAAAAGUCACGUCCAUAUUUUGCAAAUCUGUAGCCAACUCAUUAAAGCUGGUGAUAUGAUCAUUCAUUGUAGUACCAGGAACAUAUGUGAAGCGUAACAGUCUUUUUUUCAUGAAAAGUUUAUUUUGACUGUUUUUCUUCAAGAAUUUAUCAUCCAAUGCAUUCCACAAUUUACUUGCAGAAGUUUCUUUUGAGUAUGGAUACUUCUGUUCUCUUGCGAGGUAAGAUCGAAUGGUACCACAAGUAAUGCGGUUGAUAAUCUUUCAAUCUUUUUCUCUAAUAUUGUCUGGUUUAUUUUGUUCUAUGGCAAUAUCUAGCCCUUGUUGAAAAGGACAUCAAGAACCUCAGCUUGCCACAUCCCAAAAUAUCCCGACGCGUCAAAAAUUUCAACUACAAAAUUUGCAUUUGACAUAAUUCUUGUCAUAAGCGAAGAUGCUAACGACGUAUUACUGACACCCGAUGUGGACUCUUCAUUUUUAUUAUCUCCCAUUUUUGCUACAGAUACUAUUUAUUUACUGACAGUACAGAACACCAAAGUAAUUUUUUUCUGAUGUGGAAGUUCACCACAGAGCAUAUUCAGAUAGAACCUUGGCUCCGAUACCAAUUGUUGCGGAAGCCGAAUAUAUAGAGAGUGAUUAAAUCACAGCUACUAUAUCUAAAUGUAGCUAAUAAAUAGUAAAUGAGACAAUAAUAAAAAGACACUAGAAUUAACGAGGUUCGGNNNNNNNNNNNNNNNNNNNNNNNNNAUUAAGUGUGAUCAUGCAAUGUAAAUUCAUGAAAAAAUGCAUCUACCAAUUUCUUUCUAAAAGGAGGCUUCAAAUGUCCACACUAGUUCACAACUUCACAUUAAUCUUGUCAAAUUCAACAUAAGGAAUAUGGAUUCUUUUAAUAUUGAUAAAUUCAUUUUCCAUAAUUGCGCUCUUCUCUCUCUCUCUCUCUCUCUCUCUCUCUUCUUAGACAUAUUGUCCUCCUUAUAUCCCAUGUGUAUUUUAUUUUUAGGUUUUAACUUAUAUAUAAUAACAAUAUAAAUAAUUUUCAUAUUGUAUUAAAUAAUUAGUUAGAGAAAAUUAUUAAAUGCCUGGGUUAUUUUUAUUAUUUAAUAUUUAAGUUAUCAAAUUAGGAUUACUAUAGGCAGCUACAAAAGGGAAGUCUUCGCACAAAGUCAAAAGUUGUGGUCCUAGCCAUAUGAUCAGGAGGUCAUGGGUUCUUACUGCUGAAACAACCUCUUAUAGAAAAUGCAAGGUAAGGGUGUCAUCAGAUCCACCCAAUAGAGUCUAGUUGUUUCCUCAACUCUGAGCAUAGCGAAAACUUAGUGCACCAGACUACGCUUUAUAAACAUUUGCCGUUGUUACAAGUUAUCAUCACCUAAUGCACAAAAGCUAAACUCUUCUUUUUAUAGGGAAAAUUUCCAUUUGAGCUCUAUGUACUUCUCCCCACCCCCUUCUUGCCACCAUAUUAUUCAUUGGAUGGUCCAUCAAUUUCCAUUUUUAUAAAAGUAGAACAUGCAUGCAUUACAUUCCCCAACAAAUAAUAAUGCAGCAUUGCUUCUAUGAAUCGAUUUAGUUGCUCGUUUUUAUUAUCUCCUUUUCUUUCUUCUUUUCCUUGAGAUCGGGACUAAAGAAAAAAGAACAAGAGAACAAAUUGAAUAACUAGAUUGUAAUGGUUGCCCCUACUGCUAUGGGAAAUAUAGCUAUAUAUAGUUAUAUUUGUUGGUUAUGAACUGAAUGUUUACACAAAUUAAUAAAGGAAAUUAAAUUGUACAGACUACUUCAGAAAGGAAAAUAAGAAGGUCAAGUAACAAAAUGUCAUUUACAAUUACAGAAAAGAAAACACAACAUGAUUUACAUAGCGAUCAUGAAAAAAACAAAAAAGCAAAAUUAAAUUGAAGCACAACCAAUCUAGAAAACUAAAUCAUCCUAUAAUAGAAAAAGAAUACAAACCGUGAUUUACACAACGAUGACAAAGGUAAGUACGUGAACCAUAACUCAAGAGUAAUUGUCCCAACACAAAAGCAUAGUUAUACAAAUCCUCAUAAUAUAGAGCUUCCCCUUCUGUUGUUUCACCAUUCUUUUUACCUUUUCAAACCUCAGCAGCUUCUUCAUUCUUUCUCUUAGUUUAAUGAGUUCUCUAACUAAAAAUUUGCACUAAGAAUUCACUAAUUAUAGCUACUCGAUCAAAAACUCCAAAGGGACCUUCUAUUUAUAGUACAUGAAGACAUGACUUAACUUAAUUGUAUAUAUAGAUAGAUCCAUCAUAUGCAAGAAGGAGACUGUACCAACAAAGGUUGUGAUAUAGUGGUAAAUACUCCUUCAACUUUAACUAGAGGUCUCAGGUUCGAGCCCUUGAUAUAUAGUCAUUUUUACUAGGGAAUGCUUUACCCCUGAUGUGGGACUUCCAAACUCGAAUCUAGAUUUAAUUGGGCCUAAUUACGAGUACCCGGACACCGAAUAAGAAACAGAGAAAAUGCAGACUAAAUUUAGGUCAAUAUUAGAGUAGGGACACAGUGCACCCUGAGAUAACAUCCAUG
RNAcentral lists this long non-coding RNA (2935 nucleotides) under Nicotiana tabacum (common tobacco). Its description in RNAcentral is "long non-coding RNA (NTAB_LNC006515)". The record is from RNAcentral. Lineage: Eukaryota; Viridiplantae; Streptophyta; Magnoliopsida; Solanales; Solanaceae.